GGGCGAGUGAAACCCCGUGAAACGGCAAAAAAGGGACUUAAAAUCCCUUGUUCUUCGGGACGUGCCGGUUCGAUUCCGGCCUCGGGCACCA
RNAcentral lists this transfer RNA (91 nucleotides) under Solidesulfovibrio magneticus RS-1. RNAcentral describes it as "tRNA-Und (NNN) (tRNA-Und-NNN-1-1)". Lineage: Bacteria; Pseudomonadati; Thermodesulfobacteriota; Desulfovibrionia; Desulfovibrionales; Desulfovibrionaceae. The record is from RNAcentral.